Molecule: ribosomal RNA, 301 nt
Filed under: Escherichia coli
Lineage: Bacteria; Pseudomonadati; Pseudomonadota; Gammaproteobacteria; Enterobacterales; Enterobacteriaceae
Also listed under: 1 other name
Description: bacterial SSU rRNA
Rfam family: Bacterial small subunit ribosomal RNA
Source: RNAcentral
AGAAGCACCGGCUAACUCCGUGCCAGCAGCCGCGGUAAUACGGAGGGUGCAAGCGUUAAUCGGAAUUACUGGGCGUAAAGCGCACGCAGGCGGUUUGUUAAGUCAGAUGUGAAAUCCCCGGGCUCAACCUGGGAACUGCAUCUGAUACUGGCAAGCUUGAGUCUCGUAGAGGGGGGUAGAAUUCCAGGUGUAGCGGUGAAAUGCGUAGAGAUCUGGAGGAAUACCGGUGGCGAAGGCGGCCCCCUGGACGAAGACUGACGCUCAGGUGCGAAAGCGUGGGGAGCAAACAGGAUUAGAUACC